UGGGGAAUAUUGGACAAUGGGCGCAAGCCUGAUCCAGCCAUGCCGCGUGUGUGAAGAAGGCCUUCGGGUUGUAAAGCACUUUUGUACGGGAAGAAAAGCACUCGGUUAAUACCCGGGUGUCAUGACGGUACCGUAAGAAUAAGCACCGGCUAACUUCGUGCCAGCAGCCGCGGUAAUACGAAGGGUGCAAGCGUUACUCGGAAUUACUGGGCGUAAAGCGUGCGUAGGUGGUUUGUUAAGUCUGAUGUGAAAGCCCUGGGCUCAACCUGGGAAUUGCAUUGGAUACUGGCAGUCUAGAGUGCGGUAGAGGGUAGCGGAAUUCCCGGUGUAGCAGUGAAAUGCGUAGAUAUCGGGAGGAACAUCCGUGGCGAAGGGCGGCGUACCUGGACCAGCACUGACACUGAGGCACGAAAGCGUGGGGAGCGAAACAGGAUUAGAUACCCUGGUAGUCACGCCCUAAACGAUGCGAACUGGAUGUUGGGGGCGAAUUGAGCCUUCAG
RNAcentral lists this ribosomal RNA (500 nucleotides) under uncultured Pseudomonadota bacterium. Its description in RNAcentral is "bacterial SSU rRNA". It matches the Rfam family "Bacterial small subunit ribosomal RNA", at positions 355 to 843 of the family's 1533-position model. Lineage: Bacteria; Pseudomonadati; Pseudomonadota. The record is from RNAcentral.